AGGGGUGUAGCUCAGCUGGUAGAGCACCGGUCUCCAAAACCGGGGGUCGCGGGUUCGAACCCUGCCGCCCCUGCCA
Molecule: transfer RNA, 76 nt
Filed under: Bradyrhizobium sp.
Lineage: Bacteria; Pseudomonadati; Pseudomonadota; Alphaproteobacteria; Hyphomicrobiales; Nitrobacteraceae
Also listed under: 5 other names
Description: tRNA-Trp
Rfam family: tRNA
About the family: Transfer RNA (tRNA) molecules are approximately 80 nucleotides in length. Their secondary structure includes four short double-helical elements and three loops (D, anti-codon, and T loops).
Source: RNAcentral